GUUUACUGGGAGCUGUAGUCUACCUGCAACGAUAGGACUACAACUCCCAGCUGGCAAGAGAUUUGCGCAAGCGCAGUUGCGGAGAUCCUGUCCAUGGUUGCCUAUGCGGAGGGGGAAGCGCGCAGAGCGAUGUCGAGAUCCGAUGAGGAAGAGAUGGAUUUCGGUGGAUUCUCUCGAUUUGACAGUCGAAGUAGCUCAGCCGGAAACAGUGAGCUAGAGUCCUGGCAGGAGGAGGAUGAAUCAUCUGAGGGAGAAGUGGCACAAGAUGAGCAGAGUAUUUGUCUAGCUGAUGUGAAUCCAUAUAUUCUGUGUCCUGUCUGUGGAGGCUACUUUAUUGAUGCGACUACCAUCACAGAAUGUCUGCACACAUUCUGUAAGAGCUGUAUUGUGAAACAUUUUGACUACAGCAACCGUUGUCCAAAAUGCAACAUUAUUGUCCAUCAGACACAACCGCUAUAUAACAUAAGACUGGACAGAAAACUACAAGAUAUCGUUUACAAGCUAGUGCCCAACUUAGAAAGCAGUGAAAAAAAGCGACUUCAUGAUUUCUACAGAGAAAGAGGACUUGAGGUUCCUAGACCAGUUGUCCAGGUGCCCAACAAUGGUAAAGUGAACCGUAUCCGAUCGCUGGAUAAGAAGCUGGCGUUACCCAUGGUUCCCCUGGACUGUCCGUCAUCACCUCAUCUUGAGAUUUCAUUGGUGCUCGAAUUUAUCGGAGCUGAUCUUGGAGUUGGUGACUACAAGCCAUUGCAGAAGAAAUACAUUCGUGUCUCAGAGGAAGCAACGAUUCGACAUGUUGAAAAGUUCAUUAGGAAGAAGCUGGAAUUGGACCCAAUCUGUCAGAUUUUCCACCAGAGCACUCUACUGAGAAUUGCUGCCAGCUGUCAAUAGGAACUGCUGCUCCUGAACUUUUGCAACUUUAUGGUUUUCUGAUGGGAUUUUAUCAAAAAAUUGGAAAUGCAAAGUUGACUGAAGAUUGGAAGCAGCAGCAGCAUCAUUGAAACUCACCUGAAAGAUUGGCUUUCAAGCUAACAAUUCUGUUUUGUUUCUAAAGCCAGUCUUUCAGCUCUGAAUUACUUGCUGCUCAGGACCAAGACUUCCAUUGGUGACAAUGAACCCAUGUGCCCCUAGCCAAAAUUUGGCACUGUAUCCAGCUCUCUUCCAGGCCCUGUCAGUCGUUCAGCUCCACAAAGCGGGGACAUGUCUUUCAUUGUCCUGACAUCAGGAGGACAGAUGAAACAUCACAGUGAUGUCCUCAAAGCAGCCUUGAAGAGGCCAGACAUUUCUACUGACUUGUGGGCCUGUGGCUUACCAAAAUGGAGAAGGUUUAUUUGAGGAAGCACUUUGCAUGUUGAAAGAACAUUGGGAACAUGCAGGGACAAAGUUGAGGCAUCGGAUGGAGCACCAUAAACCUCCAAACAUUCCAUCUACCCGACUCUUCAAGCAGCAUCUGCAAAACAUGACAGAGUCAGCAGAUUGCGAAUUGGACUUAUCAGCCAUGUCAGAGAUCAUCGAUCUGGAGUACAAGCAAGCCAACCUCAUUUGUGAGGGAUUGCCCUAGUGAACAUGCGGUUUCAAAUUGUGUCAGUUAAUUGAUUUCCUUGGAACCAGCAGAAUUCGGAGUUGCAAGCUGUGAUUGCAGGUUCCUAGUGGAAUUCAGGACAGGAACGUUACCCUGAGUGAGCUUUCCAGGACACUUAAAAAGGAACAGACGUGAUGUUCACAGAGAAGAUCAGCAUCUGGUUUGAGUUCCAACAGCAUUACAUGAUCCCAGUCACAUGGAUAUAGGUAGAUAUCAUCUGUGGAAACAAGAUCUUAGAACAUCACCAGACCUUGAGGCACAUUCGAAGCAGUGUCACCCACAGCAGCAUACGGGUUAGU
RNA transcript from Rhincodon typus (whale shark), 1881 nucleotides. It is a transcript of the gene named polycomb group ring finger 6, with no coding region annotated. NCBI's taxonomy places the organism in Eukaryota, Metazoa, Chordata, Chondrichthyes, Orectolobiformes, Rhincodontidae. The record is from RefSeq and is a predicted model, not a curated record. The transcript has 10 exons.